Molecule: non-coding RNA, 1806 nt
Organism: Nicotiana tabacum (common tobacco)
Lineage: Eukaryota; Viridiplantae; Streptophyta; Magnoliopsida; Solanales; Solanaceae
Source: RefSeq, a predicted model, not a curated record
UCAUCUAAGCGCAUUACGUCCUUUUUCCAGUUCUCUUCUUCCUCUCUCUUUCACUACUUGGUAGGAGUAAUUUUUAAAAAAAUUCUAUAUCUCUUUGAUGGUGAGUGUUUCUGCAAUUUUCUUCGUUCAUUGCACUUUUUUGGAUAUAUGUUAGUUUCAGCUCUCAGUUCUGAGGGAUCAGCUGAAAUAACCAAUGCCCUAAGUGAUGAUUCAGGUGUUCUUAAUUUGUGAUUGAAGGUUUCCAGCCUUCAUAGGAUUGCUGGCACCAUGGAAGGUUAGUCAACUUCGCUCCACAAAAUAUUAGUAUUUGUCAGAUCCAUCACAAUUGAUCUUUGUUAGGAUCAGCAAUAUGAGAUGAUUGUAUGAUAAGCUUGCAGAAAAUCUUAGUCUCAGUUUUAUGCAGUGUAAUGUCUAUGUACGGUAUUUAAGCCUGAAAUUAUCAGUAAUCUUUAGCAGCUUGAAAAUCACAAUGAAGAGAACUUGGUUAAAAAUGUUCCUAUAAGUAACUAUGCAAAUUGAUGUAUAGUUCAUCAAUUAGUUCAACUUCUACAGUCAAUGCAAGAAAAUUAGGCAGUCGAAUGAGAUGCUUAGCAAUAAAUUACAGUAGCUUUUCUAUAAAGGCCUUUAUUGCUUAUCUGCGAAUACACUUAGGAUCACAAAUUUAUAAUCAGUUCCACAAACGAGCCAUAAAAAUUUAUGUUACCUUCUUGAAAAAAAGGAGGUAUGAAGAUUUUCCAUGACUUCAUAUUUCAGGUUAGUUCUUGACAUAGUCUAAUGAAAGAUGGUAACAUUGUAGCCUUCCAGUUGUGAGAGUGCACAAAAGAUUAAGGACGACCAAAUCUCUCCCUCCCUCCCUNCCCCUCUCUCCGUGGAUAUUUAGUUUCUCCCAUGUGAACUCUUUCCUACAUGCUAUCUGGUUUGGCAUCGUCAAAACAUAUACACAAUAAACAAUUAAACAUCACAGUUAGUAUGGUAGGAUAGAUUAUCAAACAUUAUAGUGAAUAUAGCUUGUAAUAUUUAUGUACAUUAACCAAUAUUGUAGGGAUAAGUUUCAAAGGAGAUACUUAGAAUGAAUUUAUUCUGCAAAACUUUGCACUUGAACGUGUGUAUAGGUGUUUUGUGCAUUUGUAAUUUUUUAAGUUGGUAUGACAUCAAAUGACAAUGGAUUGUACAACUAUGAACUCGUGUUUUCUACUGCCCUUAUGCUAAGUAUAGUGAAUUUAAUGCUAAAAACUUAUUCCCCUGAUUUCAAACACAUACUUUUCUGGCAAGCUAAAGAACGAUAAUCUUGUUGACAAGAACGUCACAGCAUUUUUCAUGAGUUGAUGGAGUAAUUGCUCUCGUGACGGGAAAUUCUUUUUUCGUUUCUACACAAGAGGAAUAAUGUACUACGGGAGCUUUAACGUUUUAAGCAUUUCUUGGCAUUACUACAGAAGGAGAGUUGUUUGAAGGCUACAAUCAAAUUGUGGCUGAAAGGAAAUUCACAUACGAACCUAUUGGCCAACAUUAUGGGAAUCAGAAGCGAAGACGUAUGGUGAGCUUUGUGGUCAAAUAAGUUUGUGAAACAAGGAGAAGAAAAGUUACAGAAAAAUUGGUUCUUCUGUAUUCAAAUGGACUCAAUGAUUUGGUAAAAUCUAUUUCCUUCUUAACAUGUGCAACAAUCUCUCUCUCCGUAUUGCAUGUACCGAUGAGUUGAAGAACUGGAAGUGGAAAAGAUUAAGAGGUUUAUUAAUUUGUGUUCGGAAAGUGAUAAUUAUGUUGGCCAGUUUAACAUUGUUAUUAAUCUUAGAUACUAAUUAUUUUUUA